UGAAAUUGACCAUCAUAUAGAUAGGCUCACCAAAGCGGUGGAAAAAGCCAUCAAUUCAACAGAAGUAGUGCCCAACAUCCACAUUGACCCGUCAAAACCAAAUAGAAGCAUUAGCAUAAGCAAACAUGCCAUCAAACUAAUUGCACAAAGACGCGCUCUCUAUCGCCUCCUGCACAGAAGGUAUGGGACCAUGUCAAGCCAAGAAAGAGACAUGACCAGAAACAUGUUAAGAAUAAUGUCCAUGCAAAUAAAACUAUACAUUGAAUCCGCUCACAUACAAAACAUUGAAAAUCAGAUAGCAAGGCUAGAUCCAUCAAAAAUAAGCACAAAAUUCCUAUGUCCGUCCAGAAAGCAGCAAAUUGAUAUAAAACUAACUACACAAGAGCAAAACUCCAUUGACAUGAAUAUCAUGUCCACACCCAAUAUUAAAACAGAAGCAGAGAAAAUAAAUGCACUCUCUUGGUCUUUUGAAAACAUACACAAGCAAAACGAUAACAUGACCCCAUCUUCACCUGAGCUGCUCGCCCAUGCUAGCAUGUUAACUUUAGAGAGACACAAACUGCAGAUGGUAAUUGGGAAGGAGCAAGGAGGGAAGGCUUUACAAACGCCAACCAACUACUAGAAUGGCUCCAAGCGAAAAACAAUAAAAAAACAAUAGGACCAGACAAGACCAGCAACUUCCUAAUAAAGAAAUUCAACCUUAUCAUCCUUGAUCACAUAGCCAGAAUAUUUAACAACUGCUAUAAUAUCGGAUACUUCCCCAUAGCUUGGAAACAAAGUAAGGUCAUUGCAGUCCCCAAGCCAAACUCUGACCAUAAAACCUUAAGAGGAUACAGACCCAUCUCGAUUCUAUCCGCAAUCAGCAACCUAUUUGAAAAAAUGCUGCUGGAAAAUCUAAAAAAACAUUUGGAGAAAACCAAAACUCUCAAAAACUAUCAAUUUGGUUUCAGAGAAGAGAACUCAACUAACCACUCCCUAGCAGUAGCAAACAAUUUUAUUUACACAAGCCUACAGCAAAAAAAGCCAACAAUCGCUAUAGCGCUAGAUUUUGAGAAGGCUUUUGACACUGUUUGGACAAACGGACUAGUCUAUAAAAUGAUGAAAAUACACAAAUUUGACACAAAUACAACUAGAAUAAUCCGCAGCUACCUCACGGACAGAACAUUUUAUGUCAGUAGCCAAAAUGGGAAAGAAAAAUCAUCAAUCAGAAGUAUAACGGCAGGAGUUCCGCAAGGAUCACUGCUGGCGCCCAUACUAUACAAUAUUUAUUUAGCAGACAUACCAGACUUUGUCAGAGAACCAAACUCAAAAUCCACAGCCAAAAUACAGCCACUAAU
Drosophila obscura is the source of this 1337-nucleotide RNA transcript. RefSeq lists it as uncharacterized. Lineage: Eukaryota; Metazoa; Arthropoda; Insecta; Diptera; Drosophilidae. The record is from RefSeq and is a predicted model, not a curated record. The transcript is spliced from 2 exons.